CUAGCCGUAAACGAUGGGUACUAGGUGUAGGAGGUUUCGAUACCUUCUGUGCCGCAGUUAACGCAAUAAGUACCCCGCCUGGGGAGUACGUGCGCAAGCAUGAAACUCAAAGGAAUUGACGGGGGCCCGCACAAGCGGUGGAGCAUGUGGUUUAAUUCGAAGCAACGCGAAGAACCUUACCAGGUCUUGACAUCCCUUGACAACCUCAGAGAUGAGGCCUCUCUUCGGAGCAAGGAGACAGGUGG
This 245-nucleotide ribosomal RNA is filed under the name uncultured Eubacteriales bacterium. RNAcentral's name for it is "uncultured Clostridiales bacterium partial 16S ribosomal RNA". It matches the Rfam family "Bacterial small subunit ribosomal RNA", at positions 796 to 1041 of the family's 1533-position model. The record is from RNAcentral. Lineage: Bacteria; Bacillati; Bacillota; Clostridia; Eubacteriales.